UCAACCCAUUUAACCUUCUAACCCAUCAAAUUAAAUGAGUUGAUGGGUUGACUCAACUCAUUUAGUAAAAUGAGUUGAGUCAACUCAUGAACUCAUUUAACUCUAAACUCAUUGGGUAAUGAGU
Non-coding RNA from Arabidopsis suecica, 124 nucleotides. The record is from the annotation of a GenBank genome assembly. Lineage: Eukaryota; Viridiplantae; Streptophyta; Magnoliopsida; Brassicales; Brassicaceae.